GAUGAACGCUGGCGGCGUGCCUAAUACAUGCAAGUCGAGCGAAUGGAUUAAGAGCUUGCUCUUAUGAAGUUAGCGGCGGACGGGUGAGUAACACGUGGGUAACCUGCCCAUAAGACUAGGAUAACUCCGGGAAACCGGGGCUAAUACCGGAUAACAUUUUGAACCGCAUGGUUCGAAAUUGAAAGGCGGCUUCGGCUGUCACUUAUGGAUGGACCCGCGUCGCAUUAGCUAGUUGGUGAGGUAACGGCUCACCAAGGCAACGAUGCGUAGCCGACCUGAGAGGGUGAUCGGCCACACUGGGACUGAGACACGGCCCAGACUCCUACGGGAGGCAGCAGUAGGGAAUCUUCCGCAAUGGACGAAAGUCUGACGGAGCAACGCCGCGUGAGUGAUGAAGGCUUUCGGGUCGUAAAACUCUGUUGUUAGAGAAGAACAAGUGCUAGUUGAAUAAGCUGGCGCCUUGACGGUACCUAACCAGAAAGCCACGGCUAACUACGUGCCAGCCGCCGCGGUAA
This 515-nucleotide ribosomal RNA is filed under the name uncultured bacterium. RNAcentral describes it as "partial 16S ribosomal RNA". It matches the Rfam family "Bacterial small subunit ribosomal RNA", at positions 28 to 523 of the family's 1533-position model. The record is from RNAcentral.